Molecule: long non-coding RNA, 14796 nt
Filed under: Triticum aestivum (bread wheat)
Lineage: Eukaryota; Viridiplantae; Streptophyta; Magnoliopsida; Poales; Poaceae
Description: long non-coding RNA (TAES_LNC021807)
Rfam family: MIR1120/MIR1122 microRNA precursor family (bases 796-910)
Source: RNAcentral
UAACCAUUCCAUCGAUUGAUGGCAAGACACUAAUCCGUUGAUUGCAUAUAAUAUAUAUGUGUAUGUAUAGCCGGUGCUAUAAUUCUCAUAUGCAUCCUCCUCGACCUACGUUGGUAGGCGCUUACAUACAUAUGCUCAUAUAUUCACAUAUGAGUAGAACGAGAAGUAAAACUGAGAAAGCAGAGCUGCCGACAAAUGUGAACUAACAUGACAUGUAUAUCAGUUAUUUCAACUUGCACUUUAGGCCUUGCCAGAUUCCUCGCAACCUGGUGGCCUGAAGGCAAUGAAGCUGACGCAUUGCACUUGGCGCAUGUUGUCGAAGCCGAUGACGCGGACAUAGGCGUCAGGGUACUCCUUCUUAACCUCCUCCACCUCGUUGAGCACCUGUGUGGCGUCGGUGCACCCGAACAUAGGCAGCUUCCACAUUGUCCAGUAUCGACCGUCGUAGUACCCGGGGGAGCUGUUGUGCUCACGGAAGACAAAGCCAACCUUGCUGAACUCGAGGCAGGGUACCCACUUGGAGCGGAUCAAGUAGUCGACCUGCUUUAGGAGGGCCUCCGUAGAGAGGGGUGGCAAGUAAGACAGGGUCUCAAACUUCUUGAUGCCCUCAAUUGGCCACACCUGAAUAGAUGGAAUGAACACAAUUGAUCAACACUUAGUGCUUAAAGAAAGACCUAACAAUAAGGCAAAAAUUACUCCUUAUGGUCUUCCAUACAUUGUGGGGGGUCUCGACAAGCAAGAAAGCUCAAGGACAGCUCUUGCUUAUGGGUAGUGUACGGGCAUUAAAAAUGAUAUUAUCUACUCCCUCCGUUCCAAAUUAGUCGUUGCUGAAAUGGAUGUAUUUAGAACUAAAAUACAUCUAGAUACAUUCAUACGUGCGAUAAGUAAUUCGGAACGGAGGGAGUAGUACACAUUGCAAUAAAAUCGAUUUCCAUUCACCAAGUUUAUGAGUUAAAUAUUCCUACACAUGUGAACCUGCUUACGGACUACAUUGUGAUGCACUAUCUAUGUUUAGUUGGCCUGGUAUGUUGGUUACACGUCCUAAGGAUAGCUUUGCCUUUGUGCAGUGGAAAUACCCAAUAAAUUAAUCAAUUGGGCCGACAAGAAUAUUCAUGGCAGCUUAGUGUCCGUCAUCCUUCGGGAAAAAAAUUGAAAAGAAAGAUAACCUCAGCCUCUGUAUCAAGGAUGCAUACUGUCAAUUUUAUUAUGUUAUUCAAUUGUGUCUAACAAAAAAAUGCAGUUUUAAUUCAAAACCACCUUCCAGACGAACAAAAUUGCUACACCUAUAAGUAUGAUGAUGUGCCUUGACCGCACCAUCCUUCGCCAAAAUAAUAUUUAGCUUUCAUACCUGCAUGCAUCUGAUCCUUCCGCCAUUGCUGACGCUGCUGAGGCCGGCGCUGCCGGAGCGGCGGCUGACUGGGAGGCCGGCGGUCGACUUGAGCCCCUGGAAGGGUGCGACGGUGGUGGCGGACGAAGCCAUCACGGCUGGGGCCAUGGCGGAGUACGUGAAUUGCUAGGUGGGGAGGCGAUAGCUAGCUAGGCCACACUUGACUUGAGGCCUCCUCAUGCCGCUCCAGUAUAUAUCAGCAUAUGCGCAGCGCCGGUCCUUUCAAACGAGAUUUCGAAGGGGUGGUCGUCGUUUGCUUGCUGCAAGGCGCCUUAUCCCUCUAGAUCAGCGGAAGAGGGGUGGAAAAUAAAAAUGAAUGCGACGGAAAGACCCCAAAACGUCAUAUAAGAUCACCAUUGAUCAUCCAAAUCUAAGAGCAUCUCCGGCCGUGCCCCCAAUACGGACCCCUCACGCGAUUUUUUCGCCCCGGCGCCGAAAAAACGGUCCAGUCGUGCCCUCGGGAGCCCGUUUUUCGCCGGCUUGGUCCGAAAUCAGUGCCGGCGGACCCAGGCCGAACCCGGGGCGAGCGGUUUUGGCGCGAAAGAGACGUGGGUCCGUCGAGUCAGCGACGCGCGUGCCUCGUCGUCAUCGGAACGCCUCGGUUUUCCGCGUGGAAUCAAUGGCAAGGCUGACGGGCAGCCUUGCCAUUGAUUCCUCACAGGCGGCACGUCACGGGCGGCGCGGCAACGCCUUCCCUCCCGCCACGCGUAUACACGGCGCGGGCUAUAUAAACCGGUGGCCUCCCUUGCCUCUGGCCACACCAGCCCACAGCCGCGCAUCGACCGCCGCCGAGCUCUCCCUCUCUCUCCAUGUGCAGCCGCUCGCCGACGCUUCUCCCUCCCCCCCCUCUCCCAAGCCCGAUGGCCGCGCGAUUCCCCGGCGACGCGGCGGCAGCAAACGGCUUCGGCCGCCGCUCGCUCCACGAGUGGGAGGCCUGGCUACUCUUUGAGGCGAACAUCCCGGCGCCACUGGACAUGCGCGCCGGGCCGAUGGGGUGGAGGCUCAGCAACGGGGGUGUGCCCAUUCUUCCGUUGCCCGACGUCGAGGCGCGCCCCGCCUUCUUCGCCGCCGAGGUCGACCGUGUGUGAGCCUCCCUGACAAAGGAGCAGCGCGCCCUCCCCCAGUACGCCGCCGACAACCACGCGUCGUGGGCGGCGUACUUCCAGCACCGCCAGGAGCAGAGGCUGGCGUCCACAUACGGGGCGCCGGUGGUGGGUAGCGUCAAGAACAACGAGGGCCGCCGUGUAUGGUGGGGCGCCCCCGGCCGCACGCUCCAGGACGUGUUGAAGCACAUCGAGUGCGGCAACGACCCGCCGCUAGCAUACCCUGCUGCGGUGGCCGCCCCGGUCCACCGCCGGAGCGCCGGGCAAUGGAUGCCCAGGAGGUUCGGCUCCUCCUCAACUUCCUCCUCCCACUCCUCCUCCCGCUCCUCUUCCCAUUCCUCCGGCUCGCCGGCGGUGUUCGUCGUCAAGGCUGAGCCCGUAGCGGAGACGCCGCUCGGCCGGCGCACUCGCAGCGCCGGCAUCGUCAUAAAUGAGGGCGCCCGGCGCGCAUCCUCCUCGUCUCCUCCAUGCUUCGUCAAACCGAAGACAGAGCCGGGGCUCGCGGCCGUGAAAACAGAGCCGGGGCUCCCCUCCGUGAAGACGGAGCACGACACCGGGGAGCUCGAUGACGCGGUGGCCUGAAAUGGGCGCGCGAUGACUGGGUGCACAUGGAGAUGGAGCGCCAGCGCUGCGCCCUAGAGCAGUUGAAACAUCAGCGCUGGGGCCGCGACGAGGGAGGCGUCGUCGUCCUCGACGACAGCGAUGACGACGACGCGCCGCCACCGACACCGGUCUUCGAUGGCGACGCCGGGUAGGGGUCCAGCAGGGGCAACCGCUUCAAGGAGGAGAAGGCCUCCGAUGACGACGGCGAGGAUGGUGGCGACGGUGGCGACUUCGCCGCGCUCAGCGACUUCUUCGGUCCGUAGUUGUAGUUUCGGCUUUUUAAUAAUAAAUUUGCUAUGUAAAAUGUCGAACAUGUCUAAUAUAUGCCAAGUUUGCCGAAUUUUAGCCAAAUUUUAGCUGAACUUUGCCGAAUACUCUUUUCUUUUUAACAUAAACGGCGUCUGGGGCGGCCCUGGGGUCGGCGGCUAGGAACCCACUCGUCCCCAGGCCGAUUUUUUGCGCCGGCUCGCCCCCAGCGGCGAUUUUACGCGCCCCCUGGGGGGCCAACGGCUGGAGAUGCUCUAAGGUCACUGCAUUCGUUAUGAACAAAUUCUUUGGUGCGAAACUAAACCACACCAACACUAAAAUUCAUGAAGGAAAGCCAUCCAUACUCUUAUGUUUCAUUAUACGAGACAGUAAUUAUUUCUUCAUUUAAAUUGUUUAUGUGGCUCCACCAUGGUAUUAGAGGUGGCAUUUUCCUAUACGAUGUGAUAUCAUCAUUUUUUUUCUAAUUUAGUAAAACUUCUUCAUAUAGGUCUCACAAUCUGAAAAUCCUCAUUCGCGUGCAGGCGUUGGGUGGGUGAAGCGCUCCGCACAAUAAUUCAGGUUCCAACCGCACGCUACAUUCCCUUUCAAACUUUCACAUGUCGUUUAAUUGAGAAUGGUGGUCCCAUAGUAUAGCAGUCCCACUGCCAUGGAAUUUAAUGUGUUGGGCCCACCCCACCUGUUACGCGCAUUCGCAGAAGGGCUAGUUGUGUUGGCAUCAUGGUUUUCACUUUUAAUGAUAUAUCUUUGAAUUUCACCAAAUUUCAGUAGACAGCGAAAUAUUUACCUUUCGGCCAAAAUAUAUCAGUCAUUUUAGUUGUACACAUGAUUUCAAAUAUUUUCAUAUAUUUUCUUCAAUUUCGAGUGAAUAUUUUGGUCUUUUGGUCAAAAUGCAAACAGACAUUACUGGAACUUAGUAAUUUUGGUAGGUACUGAAAUGAAAAAACAUGGGUGCCAUGGCAUGCAGGCCCACCACCGUGAUCAAUAUAUAAUCUCCCACUAAAUUUCAGGGAGGGGGGGCUAGUUUCCCUACAAUAAUGAAUAAUCCAGGGGAACGGAAAUAUCACUGCACACUUUCCUAAUAGGGACGUGGACAGCCAGUCGGAAAUCGACCACGCGGACGCGCGUGCGAAUUAGCCUCCCCCCGGCAUGCGUGUACCUCCACAAUGUAAUGGGCUAUUGUUGUUUGCAACUAAUUGUUUCCUAAUGUUAUGACUGAAUAUGGAAAAAAAAUUCAUGAGACAUAUAGGGUUUGUGCCUCUUAGGCAGGUUUUAUGACAAAAUUGAUAGUUUCGUCAUGGAAGGACCGAUCUUUAUGACACCAACACCAAACAUCACAGAUAAUUCAUGGUAGAAGGCCAAAAUAUUACUAGUACAAGGUAUCUUGGGGCUCAUCAAUUGGAUAUGUGAUUUGCACAUAUUUGUGCCCUCUACACGUUCUUUGGUUUAUUGGAAUUUCUGUAAUACUGCAAAAACAAGUAUCUAAUUGUGGUGUCAAAUGGUUAGAAAAACUGACAUGUCUUUGAUGAAUCGAUGCAGGAAUAUGGCUCACAUGACAAGUGCAUUAUGAUAGGUUUGUCCUUGUCUUGUUAUGACACCUUUGUUUGUCCUUUUUUCUAGUUCUUUAAUUUGUUUUUGUUUUUUUGUUAUUAUCUGUUUCUCGUGAAUUCCGUAUUGUUUUGCCAUUAGUUUCCAAUGGGUCUCGCCAUCUUUUAUGUGUUUCUCCACAGUAUUUUUUUAAGUACUUUGGUAUUCCAUAACAAUUUCCAUAUUAGACAAUACACAACAUAUGAUUGAGCAAAAAAUGCAUGAGAAGAAAACAAUGCAAGACAUAGGCAUUUCCGGCUGCAAACAAACCAACCUUUCCAUCGAUUGAUGGCAAGACACUAAUGCGUUGAUUGCAUAUAAUAUAUAUGUAUAUGUAUAGCCGGUGCUAUAAUUCUCAUAUGCAUCCUCCUCGACCUACAUUGGUAGGUGCUUACAUACAUAUGCUCAUAUAUUCACAUAUAUAUGAGUAGAACGAGAAGUAAAACUGAGAAAGCAGAGCCGCCGACAAAUGUGACUAACAUGACAUGUAUAUCGGUUACUUCAACUUGCACUUUAGGCCUUGCCGGAUUCCUCGCAACCUGGUGGCCUGAAGGCAAUGAAGCUGACGCAUUGCACCUGGCGCAUGUUGUCGAAGCCGAUGACGCGGACAUAGGCAUCAGGGUACUCCUUCUUAACCUCCUCGACCUCGUUGAGCACCUGUGUGGCAUCGGUGCAGCCGAACAUAGGCAGCUUCCACAUUGUCCAGUAUCGACCGUCGUAGUACCCGGGGGAGCUGUUGUGCUCACGGAAGACGAAGCCAACCUUGCUGAACUCGAGGCAGGGUACCCACUUGGAGCGGAUCAAGUAGUCGACCUGCUUUAGGAGGGCCUCCGUAGAGAGGGGUGGCAAGUAAGACAGGGUCUCGAACUUCUUGAUGCCCUCAAUUGGCCACACCUGAAUAGAUGGAAUGAACACAAUUGAUCAACACUCAGUGCUUUAAGAAAGACCUAGCCAUAAGGCAAAAAUUACUCCUGAUGGUCUGUCCAUACAUUGUGGGGGUCUCCACAAGCAAGAAGGCUCAAGGGCAGCUCUUGCUUAUGGGUAGUGUACGGGCAUUAAAAAUGAUAUUAUCUAGUACACAUUGCAAUAAAAACGAUUUCCAUUCACAAAGUUUAUGAGUUAAAUAUUCCUACGCAUGUGAACCUGCUUAUGGACUACAUUGGGAGGUUUAGUUUGGCCUGGUACGUGGGUUACACGUCUAAAGGAUAGCUUUGCCUAUAUGCAGUGGAAAUACCUGAUAAAUUAAUUAAGUGUGACGACAAAAACAUUCAUGAGAGCUUAGUGUCCGUAAUCCUUUGCCAAAAAAAAAUCAAAAAGGAGGAUAUCCCAACCUCUGCAUCAAGCGAUGCAAACUGUCAUUUUGAUUAUGUUAUUCAACAUAGUCUAACAAAAUAAAUACGAUUUCAAACCAAAACCAUCUUCCAGUCGGACAAAAUCGCUACACCUACAAAUACGAUGAUGUGCCUUGACCGCACCAUCGUUGGCAAAAAUAAUAUUCAGCUUUCAUACCUGCAUGCAUCUUAUCCUUCCGCCAUUGCUGACGCUGCUGAGGCCGGCGCUGCCGGAGCGGCGGCUGACGGGGAGGCCCGCGGUCGACUUGAGCCCCUGGAAGGGCGCGACGGUGGUGGCGGAGGAAGCCAUCAUGGCGGGAGCCAUGGCGGAGUACGUGAAUUGCUAGGUGGGGAGGCGAUAGCUAGUUAGGCCACACUUGUCUUGAGCCCCCCUCAUGCCGCUCCAGUAUAUAUCACAAUAUGCGCGGCGCCGCUCCUUUCCAACAAGAUUUUGAAGGGGUGGUCGUUGUUUCCCUGUUGCAGAACGCCUUAUCCCGAGGGAUCAGCGGAAGAGGGGUGGCCCUCCGAUGCAUUGCGUCUGGCUGCUGCAUUGGCAAACGAAAUUUAUAUCAGUCCGAUUACUAAGCAUUACAAUAAUUGUGCGAUCGUUAGAUUUGGGCCUGCGCCUUUCUUAGUCUUCAUCUAUGGCUUCCAGUAAUUUUGAUUUAUUUUGUUUCCGGAAAGUUACUGCUCCCAGAAAUUACUCCUCCAAGAUUUGUGUGUAAUUGCACCGGUGGCGCUUGAACUUGCCAUCCAUGUUCACUUUAGCGUCUGAACUUAAAAAAUACGUCCAACUGGUUAUAGUACUUGGCACUCUUGUUCAAAUAUGGUAGAAGAUGCGGGGCGGAGUGACGAAUGAAUGAAGAAGAUGCACCCUAGGCCUGUAUAAGUAGUGCGCCAAGUUAGCCACAUGGAUAUUGCGCACUGUCCGAUGACGUGUAACCAUCCACGUGCCGCCUAGUACAUGGAUAGAUAGGUGGCGAAACACAGACCAACACAUAAUGAUCGCACUUUGAUAGUAUAGGGGAUCGUAGCAGUCCUCAAUCUGAUGAGACCACCUAUUAAGGGGUAGGAUCAUCAACACCCAACAAGCUACAACACAUGGGGAUCCUAAUGCAAGAUGCUCACCUACCAAACAUAGUCGACUUGACAAACCACUUGGAUGAUACCAAGUCACUCGAACGGGUCAAGUACACUAGCUCAUUUGGAUGGAGUUCAUCAAUGUUCGAAUACACCAAACACUUGGAGGCACAAAGUAGAACAUGCAGAGAAGGCACCUGGGGCGUCGUGUAAUUUUAUAGAACUAGCAUUACUAACUUUAUUACAUCAAUUACCUCUUGUAGUGUAUCUAAUAAUUAGACAUCUUUAAACCCUUGUAACGACAAAGGUCAGGGGACGUGGCUCACUGUAUGUAAGCCAUAUCUCCAUAAUAGGGGGUCUGUCAGGGUUACGAUCGUGACAAUGAGUACUGGGGGUGCGAAAAAUGGGCAGAGCCUAGCUACAGCGCAGGUGUAACACUUGGUGUUUAACGAGUUCAGACCCCUCUCAGAGGAGGUAAUAGCACUACGUAUCGUGCCUUGAGCCUUUGUUUUCUUGAGAGGUAUGAUUACUGAGAUUGCUUAGCCCUUGUACACGAGAGGGGGGGGGGACUUAUAUAGAGUGUGUCGUUGCCCCGCCAUUCCCACGUCGCAAGGGUGGAUUUAAUGUCGUAACUACUGCAGUUACAAGUAUAAAUGGCCACAACUGCAGCAGUUACAGGUAACGGUAGCCCUGACUCUACUUUAAGGAUGACUUAGGAUUCCUCGACCAUUACAGAUCCCACGUCAUCCCUUCACCUCUCUUGCCCGAGUGAUGGUGGUCAUGUCGAUUGAAGGGUGGUCAUCCGAGUGUCGUCGAGGUGUCCGAGUGGACCUCUUGAUGUUCACAUAUGAAUGCUUGUGUGGUCCUGAGACCCACCAAUGAUGGUGUGGGGCCCUAGGUGGGCCCUAUAUGACAGGUCCAUGACCCUACUUGUAGUAGGUGACCUCAUCAUUAGACAUAGAAUCAAUUGAGGUUUUGUAUGGCAAACGGACUGAGCUUUCGGUUAGGUCCCAAUGCUUCUGGAGCACUCGGAAUAUGUUUUUCGGAAUCGUGGUCCGCCGCUCCUUAGACGAAAACACAACGGAUUCUGGACCAAAGGGUUUCCCAGAUGACCGGGUGUUGUUUAUCGCUGAGAAAAACCUGGUGGUAUUUAUUUGUCUCUAAGAGGAGAUAGACUUGAGGUCCAAGUGAGGACAUGCCAUUACAAUCCGAGUGGAGACGCCAGCGUGUGGUCUGACUCUCCAGGGAGAUGCCACUCCUUAUCCUAGAGGAACUCUAUGGAAGACCUUGGUUCGUUCAUCUCGUCUUCAAACACCAUGCAGUUCUUGGACAUAAAGGAGGGAAUGAUUCUUGUAGGUAAAGUGUACAAGACUCUGCAGAUUGAAAAUCUAAUCGAUUAGUCGUGUCCCCGGUUACGGACAUCUGAGCCUAUGGAAUUGGAGUUAUUCGGAAUUCUCAACACCAAACAUAAUUAAUUAAUUGAUGGUUUAUUAAUGAUUUCGGGUAUGAGACACUGGUUGGCGGAACCAUCUCAAUAACAACAAAUAUUUUGUAGUAAUUGCAAGCAAGUCCUUUUGUUGUAGGGAAAAAAUUGCUUCUCGCAGAAACUUAAACUUAGGGCCCCACAGCCAAAAUUGCAUAUAGUGAUAGCAUUUAUUUAUUGGUCUCCCUAUAUGACUUGCCGGCAUAUUCAAAAUGCUAACCUACAUGACCACACCAUCUUAUGUUGCAUAGGAUUACUCCGACCAGGACUGAGGAUACGAUCCACAGUCGAUGAUUGCCUUAGGAGUCGGAUGGACUCGCUUAUCGUCCACACUUCCGCAGUAGUUUUCUCAUGAGUUGUCCUUUGGCUGAAUUUAUUCUGAUGUAAUAAAGACUCCAUAUGAGAUUCAUGUAAUAAAUCAAGUGUGACUGAACUUUGAUAUUUUCAUCAAUGUACUGUGUGUGCCAGCAUGAUCUUGGGAUGGUACUGAUACAUAGAGAAUUGGCCGUUUUCGGGUCGGGUUGCUACAGUGACUUGCUAAUAAUACAUAGUGAUGUAUGCGGUCCAGUCAGUGUGAAGUACACAUUGGAUAUCAUUAUUUCCUAACCUUCAUAGAUUAUUUAAGUAGAUAUGGGUAAAUUUACUUAAUGAAACACACCAUUGAAAAAGUUCAAGGAGUUUCAGAGUGAAGUAGAAAAUCAUCCUAAUAAGAAGGUAAAACUUCUAUGAUCUGAUCAUGGAGGUGAAUACCUGAGUUAUGAUUUUGAUAUGCAUUUAAAACAAUGUGGAAUUGUUUCACAACUCACUCUACCUGGAACACCACAUCGUAAUGGUGUUUUCGAAUGUUGUAAUCGUACUCUAUUAGAUAUGGUCGUUCUAUGAUGUCUCUUACCGAUUUGUCACUAUCAUUUUAGGGUUAUGCAUUAGAGAUAGCCGCAUUCACUUUAAACAGGGCACCGUCUAAAUCCUUUCAAAAGACACUCUAUGAAUUAUGGUUUGGCAAGAAACCUAAGCUAUCGUUUCUUAAAGUUUGGGGAUGCGACAAUUAUGUCAAGGGGCUACAACAUGAUAAGCUCAAACCCAAAGCGGAAAAAUGUGUCUUGAUAGGAUACCCUAAAUAGAUAAUUGGGUAUACAUGCAAUCACAGAUCCAAGGGCAAGAUCUUUGUUUCCAAAAAUGUAUCCUUAAUGGAGAAAGAGUUUCUCUCAAAAUAAGUGAGUGGGAGGAAUGUAGAGCUUGAUGAGGUUAUCAAACCUUCUCUCAAAUUAGAGAUUACCAAGUGUGAACUCUGGUGGACUUACCCGAUGACUGAAGGCCAUUGAAAACAAAUGGAUCUUUAAGAAGAAAAUAGACAUUGAUGGUAAUGUCACUACCUAUAAAGCUCGACAUGUCACAAAAGGUUAUCCACAAGUUCAAGGGGUUGACAAUGAUGAGACUUUCUCGACCGUAACGAUGCUAAACUUUUUUAGCAUUAUGUUAGCAAUUGCUGCAUUUUUGGACUAUGAAAUCUGACAGAUGGAUGUCAAAACUAUGUUCCUUAAUGGUCAUGUUAAGCAAGAGUUGUAUAUGAUGCAACAUAAUAAGGUAUGCAAGUUCCAGCGAUCCAUUUAUGGACUGGUGCCAGCAUUCUCGACUUGGAAUCUUCACUUUGAUGAGGUGAUCAAAGCUUUUGGUUUUAUCCAAGCUUAUGGAGAAGCUUAUAUUUACAAGAAAGUGAGUGGAAUCUCUGUAGCAUUUCUAAUACUAUAUGUGGAUGACAUAUUAAGUAUUGGCAAUGAUGUAGAUCUUCUGGAAAGCAUAAAUGGAUAUUUGAACAAGAGUUUUUCAAUGAAAGACCUCGGUGCAACAACUUACAUAUUGGGAAUCAAGAUCUAUAGAGAUAGAUCAAGACGCCUGAAAGGACUUUCACAAAGUACAUACCUUGACAAAGUGGAAGAAGUUCAAAAUGGGCCAGUUCAAAGAAUGGGUUCUUGCCCAUGUUGCAAGGUAUCAAGUUGAGUAAGACUAAAUGCCCAGCUAUGGCAGAAGAAAUAGUAAAGACGAGAGCCGUCCACUAUGCCUCAGCCAUAGGCUCUAUCAUGUAGGUCAUGAUGUGUAGUAGACUUGAUGUGUGCCUUCCCACUAGUAUGAAUGGUAGGUACCAGAGUGAUCCAAGAGUGGAAAACUGGACAACAGUCAAAUAUCAUUAAGUGCCUAAAGAGGACUAAGGAGAUGUUUCUCAUUUAUGCAGGUGAUGCAGAGCUUGUCAUAAAAGUUUAUGUCGAUGCUAGAUUUGACACUGAUCCGAAUGACUCAAAAUGUCAAUUCACAUAUGUAUUUAUUUUGAAUGGUGGGGAAGUCAGCCGGAGUAGCUCCAAGCAAAGCGUUGUAGCAGUAUCAACAUGUGAGGCGGAAUAUAUAGCUGCCUUGAAAGUGGUGCGGGAAGGAGUCUAGAUGAUGGUUUUCAUAUCUAAACUAGGUGUGGUUCCUAGUGCAUCGGAUCCCAUGACUAUCUAUUGUGACAACAUGGGUGCCAUUGUCAUAGCCAAGAAGCCAAGGUUUUACACAAAAACUAAGCAUAUAAAUGCCGCUUCAACUCCAUCCGUGACUAUGUCAAGGAAGGAGACAUAGAGAUUUGCGAAAUUCACACAGAUCUCAAUGUUGAAGAUGAUGACCCACAAGUAUAGGGGAUAAAUCGUAGUCCUUUCAAUAAGUAAGAGUAUCGAACCCAACGAGGAGCAAAAGGAAAUGAGGAGUUGUUUUCAGCCAGGUAAUUUCUGCAAGCACUGAAAUUGUCGGUAACAUGUAGUUUGAUAGUAAGAUAAUUUCUAACGGACAAGUAACGGUACAUAAAGUGAAGUAAGAUAGCCCAAUCCUUUUUGUAGCAAAGGAAAGUACAAAACGAUCUCUUAUAAUAAGCAAAGCAUCCUUGAGGGCACACUGGAAUUUCAUCUAGUCACUUUCAUCAUGUUGGUUUGAUUCGCGUUCGCUACUUUGAUAAUUUGAUAUGUGGGUGGACCGGUGCUUGCGUGAUGUUCUUACUUGAACAAGCCUCCCACUUAUGAUUAACCCUCUCGCAAGCAUCUGCAACUCAGAAAGAAGAAUUAAGAUAACAAUCUAACCAUAGCAUUAAACAUAUGGAUCCAAACCAGCCCCUUACGAAAUAGCGCAUAAACUAGGAUUUAAGCUUCUCUCACUCUAACAACCCAUCAUCUAAUAACUAUUCCACAAUGCAUUCCCUUAGGCCCAAAGAUGGUAAAGUGUCAUGUAACGACGUUCACAUAACACCACUCAAGGAACCAUAACAUACAUAUCAUCAAAAUAUCGAACGAAUACCAAAUUCACAUGAUUACUUGCAACAUGACUUCCCCCGUGGCAUCAAGAACAAGGACAACUACUCACAAAUAAUAUUCAUGCUCAAGAUUCGAGGGGUAUUAAAUAGCAUAAUCGAUCUGAACAUAUAAUCUUCAAAUAAACCAUAUAGCAUCAACUACAAGAUGUAAUCAACACUACUAGUCACCCACAGGUACCAAUCUGAGGUUCUGGUACAAAGAUUGAACACAAGAGAUGAACUAGGGUUCUCAGAUGAGAUGGUUAUGUUGAAGAUGUUGAUAAAGAUUGGCCUCCCAAAGAUAAGAGGAUUGUUGGUGAUGACGAAGGCUUCGAUUUCCCCAUCCGCGAGGGAUGUUCUCCCGGCGAAAUCGCUCCAUCGGAGGGCAAAAGUGCUCCUGCUCAAGUUCCGCCUUGAGACGGUGGCACUCCAUCCCGAAAGUCCUCUCUUUGUUUUUACUAGGUCAAAAGACCUUAUAUACUAGAAGAUGGGCACCGAACGUGGGGCGGGGUGCCCACCACCCACCAGGGCACACCUGGAGGGGGUGGCGUGCCCUGGUGUCUUGUGGCCACCUGGCAGUCCCCUCUGGUAGUUCUUUUCUCCAAUAUUUCUUAUUUAUUCCAAAAUAAUUCUCCGUAAAAUUUCAGCUCAUUUGGAGAUGCGCAGAAUAGGUAUCUCUGACAUAGUUUUUUCAGGUCUAGAAUUACAGCUAUCGGCAUUCUCUCUCUUUGUGUAAACGUUGCAUAUUACGAGAAAAAAUGUAUUAGAAUUACUCCAUAAAGUGUUAUAAAACAUAAAAACACUAUAAAUAUAUGAUUUUGUCAUGAAAAAUCUAAAUGAAUGCCACGGAAAGACCCCAAAAUGUCAUAUAGGAUCACCAUUGAGCAUCAAAAUAUAAGGCCACCUCAUUCGUUAUGAAGAAAUCCUUUGCCAUGAAAGUAAACCACGCUAACACUAAAAUUCAUGAAGUAAAGUCAUCCAUAGUCUUAUGAUUCAUUACAUGAAAUUAAAGAAAGUGAUGGUAUGGCUCUACCGUGUGUUAGAUGUGGCCUUUCCCACGACGAUGUGGUAUCAUCAUUUUUUUCUAAGUUAGUAAAAGGUCUUACAUAUUGGUUUCAGAAUCCAAAAAGACUCCUUCAGCUGCGCGUUGGGACAGGCGAAGCGCUCCGUAGAAGCAGUCAGGUAGUAUAGCAGCCGACUAUGUUCCUUUUCAAACUUUCGCAUGUUGUUUAACUGAAAAUGGUGGCCCCACGUAGUAUAGCAGCCCACCUACUAGACGCAUUCCCUAACCCUUCGUGACAGCCAGUUGGAAGUUGAUCGCGUGGGACAUGUGCGCGUGAAUUAGCCUCCCCUCACAGUCAUCCACCCCCAAAAAUAAUACAAAUUAAUAUAAUUUCAGCCAUGUUAGAGACAUGUGUGUACCUCCACAAUGUAAUUGGCUAUUGUUGUUUACAACUAAUUGUUUCCUAAUUUUAUGACUGGAUAUGGAUUUUGUCAUGAAACAUACAGGGUUUGUGCCUCCUAGGUAGGUUUAUGACAAAAUGAUAGUUUCGUCAUGGUAGGACCGAUGUUUAUGACACAAACACAAAACAUCACAGAUAAUUCAUCGUAUAGAAGGCCAAAAAUUACUAGUGCAAGAUAUCUUAGGACUCGUAAAUUGGAUAUGUAAUUUGCACAUAUUUGUGUCCUCUACACGUUCUAUGGUUUACUGGAAUUUCUGCAAUACUGCAAAAAAGAAGUAUCUAAUUGCGGUGCAAAAUGGUUAGAAAAGGUGACAUGUCUUUGAUGAAUCGAUGUUGGAAUGUGGCUCACAAGACCAGUACACUAUGGUAGGUUUGUCCUUGUCUUGUUUUGACACCUUUUGUUUGUCCUUUUUACUAGUUUUUAAUUUGGAUUUUGGCCUUUUAUCAUCUGGUUCUCGUCAAUUUCCUACUGUUUUGCCACUAGUUUUUUUACGGGGAGUUUUGCCACUAGUUUUCAAGUGGUUCUCGCCAUCUUUUUAUGUGUUUCUCCACAAUAUUUUUUGAUGUACUUUGGUAUUCCAUAACAAUUUUCACACUAGAUAAUACACAACAUAUGAUUGAGCAAAAAAUGCGUGAGAAGAAAACAAUGCAAGACAUAGGCAUCUCGAGCUGCAAACAAAGUAACAUUUCCAUCAACCGAUGGCAAGACAAUAAUCCGCGGAUUGCAUAUAAUAUAUGUGUGUAUGUAUAGCCGGUGCUAUAAUUCUCAUAUGCAUCCUCCUCGACCUACGUUGGUAGGUGCUUACAUACAUAUGCUCAUAUAUUCACAUACGAGUAGUACGAGAAGUAAAACCGAGAAAGCAGAGCUGCCGACAAAUGUGAACUAACAUGGCAUGUAUAUGCGUUACUUCAACUUGCACUUUAGGCCUUGCCAGAUUCCUCGCAGCCUGGUGGCCUGAAGGCAAUGAAGCUGACGCACUGCACCUGGCGCAUGUUGUCGAAGCCGAUGACGCGGACAUAGGCAUCAGGGUACUCCUUCUUGACCUCCUCCACCUCGCUGAGCACCUGCGUUGCGUCGGUGCACCCGAACAUAGGCAGCUUCCACAUUGUCCAGUAUCGACCGUCGUAGUAGCCGGGGGAGCUGUUGUGCUCACGGAAGACGAAGCCAACCUUGCUGAACUCGAG